UUUCCCUCCAGCUUCCAUGUCAACACAGAC
RNAcentral lists this non-coding RNA (30 nucleotides) under Mus musculus (house mouse). The record is from RNAcentral. Lineage: Eukaryota; Metazoa; Chordata; Mammalia; Rodentia; Muridae.